RNAcentral lists this ribosomal RNA (253 nucleotides) under uncultured bacterium. Its description in RNAcentral is "partial 16S ribosomal RNA". It matches the Rfam family "Bacterial small subunit ribosomal RNA", at positions 524 to 776 of the family's 1533-position model. The record is from RNAcentral.
UACGAAGGGGGCUAGCGUUGUUCGGAUUUACUGGGCGUAAAGCGCGCGCAGGCGGUCCUUUAAGUCUGAUGUGAAAGCCCACGGCUCAACCGUGGAGGGUCAUUGGAAACUGGGGGACUUGAGUACAGAAGAGAAGAGUGGAAUUCCACGUGUAGCGGUGAAAUGCGUAGAGAUGUGGAGGAACACCAGUGGCGAAGGCGACUCUUUGGUCUGUAACUGACGCUGAGGCGCGAAAGCGUGGGGAGCAAACAGG